GCCGACGUAGCUCAGUGGUAGAGCAACCGCCUCGUAAGCGGUAGGUCGUCAGUUCAAUCCUGACCGUCGGCUCCA
Molecule: transfer RNA, 75 nt
Filed under: Candidatus Aeolococcus gillhamiae
Lineage: Bacteria; Bacillati; Candidatus Dormiibacterota; Candidatus Dormibacteria; Candidatus Aeolococcales; Candidatus Aeolococcaceae
Also listed under: 1 other name
Description: tRNA-Thr
Rfam family: tRNA
About the family: Transfer RNA (tRNA) molecules are approximately 80 nucleotides in length. Their secondary structure includes four short double-helical elements and three loops (D, anti-codon, and T loops).
Source: RNAcentral